Molecule: ribosomal RNA, 482 nt
Filed under: uncultured bacterium
Lineage: Bacteria
Description: partial 16S ribosomal RNA
Rfam family: Bacterial small subunit ribosomal RNA
Source: RNAcentral
AUUGAACGCUGGCGGCAUGCUUUACACAUGCAAGUCGAACGGUAACAGGCCGCAAGGUGCUGACGAGUGGCGAACGGGUGAGUAAUGCAUCGGAACGUGCCCAGUCGUGGGGGAUAACUACUCGAAAGAGUAGCUAAUACCGCAUACGAUCUAUGGAUGAAAGCGGGGGACCGUAAGGCCUCGCGCGAUUGGAGCGGCCGAUGUCAGAUUAGGUAGUUGGUGGGGUAAAGGCUCACCAAGCCAACGAUCUGUAGCUGGUCUGAGAGGACGACCAGCCACACUGGGACUGAGACACGGCCCAGACUCCUACGGGAGGCAGCAGUGGGGAAUUUUGGACAAUGGGCGAAAGCCUGAUCCAGCAAUGCCGCGUGAAGGAAGAAGGCCUUCGGGUUGUAAACUGCUUUUGUACGGAACGAAACGGCUCUGGUUAAUACCCGGGGCUAAUGACGGUACCGUAAGAAUAAGCACCGGCUAACUACGUG